RNAcentral lists this ribosomal RNA (483 nucleotides) under uncultured bacterium. RNAcentral's name for it is "partial 16S ribosomal RNA". It matches the Rfam family "Bacterial small subunit ribosomal RNA", at positions 30 to 507 of the family's 1533-position model. The record is from RNAcentral.
AUUGAACGCUGGCGGCAGGCCUAACACAUGCCAGUCGAGCGGAUGAAGGGAGCUUGCUCCUGGAUUCAGCGGCGGACGGGUGAGUAAUGCCUAGGAAUCUGCCUGGUAGUGGGGGAUAACGUCCGGAAACGGGCGCUAAUACCGCAUACGUCCUGAGGGAGAAAGUGGGGGAUCUUCGGACCUCACGCUAUCAGAUGAGCCUAGGUCGGAUUAGCUAGUUGGUGGGGUAAAGGCCUACCAAGGCGACGAUCCGUAACUGGUCUGAGAGGAUGAUCAGUCACACUGGAACUGAGACACGGUCCAGACUCCUACGGGAGGCAGCAGUGGGGAAUAUUGGACAAUGGGCGAAAGCCUGAUCCAGCCAUGCCCGUGUGUGAAGAAGGUCUUCGGAUUGUAAAGCACUUUAAGUUGGGAGGAAGGGCAGUAAGUUAAUACCUUGCUGUUUUGACGUUACCAACAGAAUAAGCACCGGCUAACUUCGUG